This 468-nucleotide ribosomal RNA is filed under the name uncultured bacterium. RNAcentral's name for it is "partial 16S ribosomal RNA". It matches the Rfam family "Bacterial small subunit ribosomal RNA", at positions 28 to 507 of the family's 1533-position model. The record is from RNAcentral.
GACGAACGCUGGCGGCGUGCUUAACACAUGCAAGUCGAACGGAAAGGCCCUGCUUUUGUGGGGUGCUCGAGUGGCGAACGGGUGAGUAACACGUGAGUAACCUGUCCUUGACUUUGGGAUAACUUCAGGAAACUGGGGCUAAUACCGGAUAGGAGCUCCUGCUGCAUGGUGGGGGUUGGAAAGUUUCGGCGGUUGGGGAUGGACUCGCGGCUUAUCAGCUUGUUGGUGGGGUAGUGGAUUACCAAGGCUUUGACGGGUAGCCGGCCUGAGAGGGUGACCGGCCACAUUGGGACUGAGAUACGGCCCAGACUCCUACGGGAGGCAGCAGUGGGGAAUAUUGCACAAUGGGCGGAAGCCUGAUGCAGCAACGCCGCGUGCGGGAUGACGGCCUUCGGGUUGUAAACCGCUUUCGCCUGUGACGAAGCGUGAGUGACGGUAAUGGGUAAAGAAGCACCGGCUAACUACGUG